UAUAAGUUUAAUCGUUUAUCGAGAAACCGCGAACGGCUCAUUACAAUGGCCAUUAUUUACUUGAUCUUGAUUGUCUAAAUGGAUAACUGUGGAAAAGCUAGAGCUAAUACAUGCACUAAAGCUUUGUCCUUACGGAAAAGCGCAUUUAUUAGAACAAAACCACGCGGCUUCGGCUGCUUCUUGUUGACUCAGAAUAACUUAGCUGACCGCAUGGCCUUGUGCCGGCGGCGUGUCUUUCAAGCGUCCACUUUAUCAACUUGACGGGAGCAUAAUCGACUCCCGUGGUGGUGACGGAUAACGGAGGAUCAGGGUUCGACUCCGGAGAAGGGGCCUGAGAAAUGGCCACUACGUCUAAGGAUGGCAGCAGGCGCGCAAAUUACCCACUCUCGGCUCSAGGAGGUAGUGACGAGAAAUAACGAGACUGUUCUCUUUGAGGCCGGUCAUCGGAAUGGGUACAAUUUAAACCCUUUAACGAGUAUCAAGCAGAGGGCAAGUCUGGUGCCAGCAGCCGCGGUAAUUCCAGCUCUGCAAAUACAUAGAAUUAUUGCUGCGGUUAGAAAGCUCAUAGUUGGAUUCGUAUCGAUACCUUGGAACCCUUCGGGUGUCUCUAGGUGUUAUCGAUUUAUCGUAAUGUUCGGUUUUGAGUCCUUAACAGGAUUCUUAACAGGCAUUGCAAGUUUACUUUGAACAAAUCAGAGUGCUUCAAACAGGCGUUUUCGCUUGAAUGAUCGUGCAUGGAAUAAUAGAAAAUGAUUUCGGUUCAGUUUUAUUGGUUUUACGGACUGAGAUAAUGGUUAACAGAGACAAACGGGGGCAUUUGUAUGGUCCCGUGAGAGGUGAAAUUCUUGGACCGUGGCCAGACAAACUACAGCGAAAGCAUUUGCCAAGAAUGUUUUUAUUAAUCAAGAACGAAAGUCAGAGGUUCGAAGGCGAUCAGAUACCGCCCUAGUUCUGACCGUAAACGAUGCCAACUAGCGAUCCGCCGAUGGAAAUUAUAUUGCCUUGGUGGGGAGCUUCCCGGAAACGAAAGUCUUCCGGUUCCGGGGGAAGUAUGGUUGCAAAGCUGAAACUUAAAGGAAUUGACGGAAGGGCACCACCAGGAGUGGAGCCUGCGGCUUAAUUUGACUCAACACGGGGAAACUCACCCGGCCCGGACACUGUGAGGAUUGACAGAUUGAUAGCUUUUUCAUGAUUCAGUGGAUGGUGGUGCAUGGCCGUUCUUAGUUCGUGGAGUGAUUUGUCUGGUUUAUUCCGAUAACGAGCGAGACUCUAACCUACUAAAUAGUUGGUACAUACUCUUAGUGUAUACAGCUUCUUAGAGGGAUUUGCGGCGUUCAGCCGAAAGAAAUUGAGCAAUAACAGGUCUGUGAUGCCCUUAGAUGUCCGGGGCUGCACGCGCGCUACACUGGCAAAAUCAACGUGCUUGUCCUACCCUGAAAGGGGCGGGUAAACCAUUGAAAAUUUGCCGUGAUUGGGAUCGGAAAUUGCAAUUAUUUUCCGUGAACGAGGAAUUCCAAGUAAGUGCGAGUCAUCAGCUCGCGUUGAUUACGUCCCUGCCCUUUGUACACACCGCCCGUCGCUGCCCGGGACUGAGCCAUUUCGAGAAAUUUGGGG
This 1614-nucleotide ribosomal RNA is filed under the name Meloidogyne arenaria. RNAcentral describes it as "SSU rRNA". It matches the Rfam family "Eukaryotic small subunit ribosomal RNA". Lineage: Eukaryota; Metazoa; Nematoda; Chromadorea; Rhabditida; Meloidogynidae. The record is from RNAcentral.